AGAGUUCGAUCGCAGCUGCCCUUUUUUUCUUUGCUUUUCCAAACAAACCGUUGAUCUGUUUGUGCUCUUGGUUUAGAGUCUUGUAUACAACUUCUUGCCUUAACAAUGCUUUAUGCGUAGCGUUUAUCUAAUAAAAAAUUUUAUAAGAACUUAAGAGGCGUUCAUGAUUUAGGUUUUACUUUGUUUUUGAUUUCUAUUAACACAC
RNAcentral lists this long non-coding RNA (205 nucleotides) under Capsella rubella. Its description in RNAcentral is "long non-coding RNA (CRUB_LNC000379)". Lineage: Eukaryota; Viridiplantae; Streptophyta; Magnoliopsida; Brassicales; Brassicaceae. The record is from RNAcentral.